GUGAGUGUAGCUCAGUUGGUUAGAGCGUCCGGUUGUGGUCCGGAAGGCCGUGGGUUCGAGCCCCAUCACUCACCCCA
RNAcentral lists this transfer RNA (77 nucleotides) under Candidatus Peregrinibacteria bacterium. Its description in RNAcentral is "tRNA-His". It matches the Rfam family "tRNA". From Rfam's summary of the family: Transfer RNA (tRNA) molecules are approximately 80 nucleotides in length. The record is from RNAcentral. Lineage: Bacteria; Candidatus Peregrinibacteriota.